CCUUCCAUAUGCCUCUAGGAUCACGGAGUGCGUGACUGAUCUUGAAUCCAUGCCCGAAAUGUCCAAUCGAUAUGAAGCACCGCCCUGUAUUGACCAUCUAGAGAGUCGUUCAUUUUCUUACCCCAGAAGGAACCCCAGGGCGAAGGCGGCCCUUUUGCUUGUCGUUGGGAGGGAGGUCUCAGAUCAUAUGACCUGUCAUUCGUACCCCUAUCAGAUGUCGUUCGAGUAAAUAGUCAACAGUAUUGACUCUUGAGUGUUCAUGACUUGAUUCUAUCCUUUUCUUUUUCAUGGAUACCUUGCUCGUCUUCUCCCUCCAAAUUUAAAACAAUACCCAAACAGCACCAAAUCAUCCCUUCUUUCCCUUCUAUUAUUCCCCAAAUCGUCCUUUUCCUGUUCCCAAAAUCAGAUUCCUUAAGAAGAAUCAAAAUAAAACCUCCUAAUCUCCCGCUCACAGCCCAAAAAACCCCGCAAUGAUCGAUCCUCACUCAUUCACUGAUUCAACUCACCCCCUAACCACCCACGUAUCCCUCACUCUCUACUUCCGCUUCCCUUCCUCCAUCAUCCACGCCACUGCUCUCCUCACCCUCCAAACCCCAUACACUGGCCCGCUCUCUCUCGACACUCGCUCCCUCACCAUCCACAAAAUCCUCGACCCUGCAACUCCAGCUCCCCUCCCUUUCACUCUCUCCUCUUCUGAACAUCCCAUCAAAGGGCGACUCCUUACCGUUUAUCUGGACAACAACUCCUCAGUUCUCAUCCUUUACUCCACCCCCCCUUCCUCUUCGGCCCUCCAAUGGCUCUCUCCGCCCCAAACUUUCAACAAAACUCACCCUUUUGUCUACACCCAAUGCCAGUCUGUUCACGCGCGCUCCGUUUUUCCUUGCCAGGAUACGCCUGCCGCGCGUGUUCGUUACUCUGCAAAGUUGAAUCUUCCGCGGGAGCUUUCUGCUGUUAUGUCUGCUAGGCAUUGUGACCGUCAUGACCCUGUUGGUACUGAUUUGGAUGGGGUGUUGACGAAUGAGGAUUCUGGAUUUGGAUUUGAUUUGAAGUCGUUGUGGUGCGAGGAAGGGAGGGUUGUGGAGGAGUUUGUAAUGGAACAGCCAAUUCCGCCGUACUUGUUUGCGUUUGCUGUUGGGGAAUUGGGGUUUAGAGAGGUGGGGCCGAGGACUAGGGUUUAUUCGGAGGCAGUUGAUGGGGUUUUGGAUGCAGCUGCAAGGGAGUUUGCAGGAACUGAAGAGAUGAUUAGGCAAGCGGAGAGGUUGUUUGGUGAGUAUGAUUGGGAGAGGUUUGAUUUAUUGGUUUUGCCACCGAGUUUUCCAUAUGGUGGAAUGGAGAAUCCAAGGAUGGUGUUUUUGACUCCUACAGUGAUUAAAGGGGAUGCGAGUGGCGCGCGGAUUGUGGCGCAUGAGUUGGCUCAUAGUUGGACUGGGAAUUUGAUUACUAACAAGAAUAAUGAGCAUUUUUGGUUGAAUGAGGGUUUCACAACAUAUGCGGAGAGGAGAAUUGUUGAGGUCGUGCAAGGCGAAGAUAUAGCUGCUCUGAAUAUUGGAAUUGGUUGGAGAGGUUUGAAUGAGGAAAUGGAGAGGUUCAAGGACAACAUGGAGUUCACUAAGCUAAAAAACAAUCAGGAAGGAGUGGACCCAGAUGACAUGUACUCUCGAGUGCCAUAUGAGAAAGGUUUCCAGUUUCUGUGGCGCAUUGAACAUCAGAUUGGAAGACCUGCUUUUGACGAGUUCCUCAAGAAAUAUAUCGCCACGUUCAAGUUCAAGUCAAUUGACACAGAGACAUUUCUUGAUUUCCUGAAAGCCAAUGUUCACGGAAUAGAGAAAGAUAUUGACCUUCAGCUAUGGACUGAGGGCACUGGCAUCCCUCCAGAUGCUCAUGAACCGGUUUCAAACUUGUAUAUAAAGAUUACAUCACUUGCAAAGGAUUUUAAGCUUGGGAGGAUGCCGAGAGAGGAUGAAGUUGCUAACUGGAAAGGGCAGGAAUGGGAGCUGUACCUCAAGAACCUGCCCAGAGCUGUUGAAGCCUCACAGGUGUUAGCCUUGGAUGCACGCUAUAGGCUGUCAGAAUCCAAGGACUAUGAGGUGAAAGUGGCAUUUCUCCAACUGGCUAUCUCCUCCAGGUGUAGGGAUUACUAUGGUGAGGUGGAGAAAACAUUGAAGGAAGUUGGGAGGAUGAAGUACCUCCGCCCACUCUACAGUGGUCUUGUUCAAGGCCCUGGAAACGAAGAAGAGAAAAUCUUGGCCAAAAGAGUGUUUGCUGAAGCUCGUGAAUGUUACCACCCUAUAGCUCAAGGUAUUGUUGAGGCAAUCUUUGCCAAGCACGUGUAGGAUGGCGAGACACCACCAUAUAGUAUCUGGACCUAAACCUUUAAUGUCUUGGAGACCAAUAAUAUGAUAAAUAUCUUCCUGUAUUUUGACACUUCACUCCUCGGUAAUUCUGCUGAUUUUGCAUGACUAUCCUAUUU
Populus euphratica (Euphrates poplar) is the source of this 2470-nucleotide RNA transcript. It is a transcript of the gene named leukotriene A-4 hydrolase homolog, with no coding region annotated. The record is from RefSeq and is a predicted model, not a curated record. The transcript is spliced from 5 exons. Lineage: Eukaryota; Viridiplantae; Streptophyta; Magnoliopsida; Malpighiales; Salicaceae.